CCCAUGCUCCAGAGAUGUCCACUCUCGGAUUAGGAGUGCCUUAUUCUAUUCUUCCAGUGCCUGAGCCAAACCCCAAAGCAUUGAAAGGGAGAGUAGAGCUGUGAGUGCCUCCAGGCUGCCAGUCUUCACUGUAUCUGUUUUAUCCACUUGUAAAACUGGUUGGAACAUAACAGGUACUUUUCUUUUCCAAGAGCUCUUCAUGUUAGUUGAAGAAGGAUUUCCUAAGCAAUGGUAUAGAUUAGCAUGGAAGACCAAUGUGUCCCCUGCAAAGGAAGUCAAAAUUUGUCAUGUUGAUUGCCCUCAAUAGUCUCUCAAGAGGAAAGUUACACAAGUUGAGAAAAUAGUAAUCAUAUCAAGAGAUUAACAGUGGAAAAUGCUUUCUGGGUCAGAUUUACA
Long non-coding RNA from Oxyura jamaicensis (ruddy duck), 396 nucleotides. RefSeq lists it as uncharacterized. Lineage: Eukaryota; Metazoa; Chordata; Aves; Anseriformes; Anatidae. The transcript is spliced from 4 exons. The record is from RefSeq and is a predicted model, not a curated record.